Molecule: long non-coding RNA, 608 nt
Organism: Oncorhynchus tshawytscha (Chinook salmon)
Lineage: Eukaryota; Metazoa; Chordata; Actinopteri; Salmoniformes; Salmonidae
Source: Ensembl
GGGGGUUUGAAUGUAGCUGGGUAGUUUUAAGUGGAUGGAGGAAAUGGUGACUGGCACAUAUUCUUCAGCAGACAAUAGCUGGAUCCUUUAGACCACUUCCCAGGAGGUCUAAAUUGCUGUUGGCAGUAGGAGCCUGUGAUUGAAGGCUACUCAACCAGAUAUGCGACAGAUAAGAAAAAUCAGUGGUCCUGGGAGAGGAAGAGAGGAAGGAAGGGGAAGCAGAAGGGGAUGCAUGGGAUCAGGUGACACGCUGGGCAACCAUACCCAAGGACCAGCCAGUCUCUCCUGUGUCCCUCCUCAGGUGUCCCUCUGCUCUCCUGUUUCAACCAAUCCCAGAUCCCCAUCUGCCGGCCGGCAGGAUCACUCUGGCCGUCUGGAUUAUUCAGAAACGGCUAAACGCUCUUUGUAUCAAGCUGACUGGGACAAAACUAGCUGCAGGCCCACUAAGCCACAGGAGCUCAGCUGCAAGCCCACAGCCAUACCAUGGAGAUGCUGUUUUAGCUCUACUGUACAUUGGAGAAACCAAGGAAAUGCUUAUUUGAACACUGUACAGCUAUGCAUCAGCGACACUGACACUGAGCGCACACAUCAAGGGGUUUCACUGUGCA